UAGGGAAUCUUCCACAAUGGGCGAAAGCCUGAUGGAGCAACGCCGCGUGUGUGAUGAAGGCUUUCGGGUCGUAAAGCACUGUUGUAUGGGAAGAACAGCUAGAGUAGGGAAUGACUUUAGUUUGACGGUACCAUACCAGAAAGGGACGGCUAAAUACGUGCCAGCAGCCGCGGUAAUACGUAUGUCCCGAGCGUUAUCCGGAUUUAUUGGGCGUAAAGCGAGCGCAGACGGUUGAUUAAGUCUGAUGUGAAAGCCCGGAGCUCAACUCCGGAAAGGCAUUGGAAACUGGUCAACUUGAGUGCAGUAGAGGUAAGUGGAACUCCAUGUGUAGCGGUGGAAUGCGUAGAUAUAUGGAAGAACACCAGCGGCGAAGGCGGCUUACUGGACUGUAACUGACGUUGAGGCUCGAAAGUGUGGGUAGCAAACAGG
This 429-nucleotide ribosomal RNA is filed under the name uncultured bacterium. RNAcentral describes it as "bacterial SSU rRNA". It matches the Rfam family "Bacterial small subunit ribosomal RNA", at positions 355 to 776 of the family's 1533-position model. The record is from RNAcentral.